This is an RNA transcript of Erigeron canadensis, 3698 nucleotides long. RefSeq lists it as uncharacterized. The transcript is spliced from 10 exons. Lineage: Eukaryota; Viridiplantae; Streptophyta; Magnoliopsida; Asterales; Asteraceae. The record is from RefSeq and is a predicted model, not a curated record.
UUGUCUUUCCUUUUUUUUUUUUUAUGACACGCAACACAGUAGUUAUAAAACGUUACCCCCCAAGAAAAGACGACAUAGGAGAAGAAACAUUCAUUACGGAAAUUAAAAUGCUUGGCACUUGCAAGCAUCCAAGGAUAGUCAAACUACUUGGAUUUUGUGUUGAUGAUUCUGAGAUGAUCCUUGUCAUUGAGCAUCUUCCUAAUCAAUACCUUGAAGAUUAUUGGAUAAACCUCAACUUGAGGCCUUUUCUUACUUGGGCAAAACGGUUGAAAAUCUGUCUCGAUAUUGCAAAUGCACUAAAUUAUCUUCAUUAUGAGAUGGAGGACCAAAAGACCAUAAUACACCGUGAUAUUAAGAGCUACUACAUUGCGUUGGAUGAGAAUUGGGGGGCAAAGAUUGUUGACUUUCGAUACUCGGUAUUCCUGCCUCCGAAUCAAGAUGGCGACGCUCUUUAUCACAAUUCUUAUAUCGGCACUCGAGAGUAUAUCGAUCCAGAAUAUAGGGGGACUGGUAAGUUGAAAAGAGAAUCAGAUGUAUAUGGUUUUGGAGUAGUUCUGUUUGAAGUUCUAUGUGGUAGAUUAGCCUAUGACCCGAUAUAUCUUAUGGAGAGUGAGCAAGGGUUGGCGUUUGUGGCACGACGAUGCUUCCGAGAGGGAACACUAAUAGAAAUGAUAGAUCCUAUAUUAAAGGAACCAAGGGGAGAAAACGACUUUAUUCUAAAUAGAGGACCAAACAAAUAUUCCUUAAAGAAAUUUGUAAACAUUGCCUACAAGUGCAUAGCAGAAACUCAAGACCGACGACCAACAAUAAAAGUGGUCAUUCAGGAGCUUCAGGAUGCCUUGUUCUUUCAGGAGGAAGAAGAGCACGUAGAUAGGGUACAUGUUGCUGACGAAGUUGAGGAAUCCAUGGAACUUACGUUGAGUCCUAAUUAUGCGGUGGAAGAGGAGCACUUAGAUAUGGUACAUGUUGCUGACGAAGUUGAGGAAUUGAUGGAACUUACGUUCACACCUGAUUAUGCGAUAAAAAAAUUGGAGAACUUAAAGAUUCCCCUCAGUGAUAUACUGCUGGCCACAGAAAACUUUUCCGCGACAUACAGAAUAGUGCCCACCUCAUACAAAUACUUAGAAUUUUACAGAGCAGAACUCGAGCAUUUUGAUGUAGAAAAGCCUUCCAUCAAAGAAGAAGAGAAUAAAAGUGAUAUGUGCAGGACACGUAACACAGUAGUUAUAGAACGUUUCCGCCCAAGAAAUCAAAUAGAAAUAGAAAUGUUCUACACAGAGUUUAAAAUGCUUAACACUUGCAAGCAUCCAAACAUAAUCAAAUUACUUGGAUUUUGUGUUGAAGAUUCUGAGAUGAUCAUUGUUGUUGAACAUCUUUCUAAUGCAUACCUCUAUGAUUACUGGAAAAACACCGACAUGAGGCAUACUCUUACUUGGGAAAAACGUUUGAAAAUUUGCCUUGAUGUUGCAAAUGCAUUGAAUUACCUUCAAACAGAGAUGGAGGACCAAAAGGCGAUAAUACACCGUGGUAUUAUGAGCUACAACAUAGAAUUGGACGAGAAUUGGGGGGCAAAAGUUAUUGGUUUUCAGCUGUCGGUAUUCCUGCCUCCGAAUCAAGAUGACGACACCCUCUAUCACAGUUUUCGUUCCGGUGUUCUUCGCUACAGGGAUCCAGAAUAUUGGGAGACUGGCAAGUUGAAAAGAGAAUCAGAUGUGUAUAGUUUUGGUGUAGUUUUGUUUGAAAUCCUAUGUGGGAGGUUAGCCUAUGACCCAAUAUACUUAAAAGAGAGUGAAGAAUUUGGGCUAGCGUUUGUGGCACGACAAUGCUUCCAAGAGGGAACACUAACGGAAAUGAUAGAUCCUAUAUUAAAGGAACAAAGGGGUGAAAAGAGCUUAACUCUAAAUAGAGGACCAAACAAAGAUUCUUUGGAGAAAUUUGUAAAAAUUGCACACCGGUGCAUAGCAACAACUCAAGACAAACGCCCAACAAUGAAAGUGGUCAUCCAGGAGCUUCAGGAUGCCUUAUUCUUUCAGGAAAACAACAAGGACGAACCCAAAAUUUCACUUGAAGUCAUAAGAUUGGCCACAAAAAACUUCGAUGAUGAGAAUUGCAUUGGGAGAGGAGGAUUCGGGAACGUUUAUAAAGGAGAAGUUCCACAAGGUGACAGGCUCAAUACUAUUAUUGUUGCGAAGCGAUUGGACACAAGGCUUGGUCAAGGAGAGCAGCAAUUUAGGAAUGAGAUCCAAAUUCUUUUCGAGUAUAAACAUGAGAAUAUCAUCUCUCUUGUGGGAUAUUGUGAUGAAGAGAAGGAAAAAAUCAUUGUUUACGAGUAUGCAUCUCAAGGAAGUCUUAAUAACUAUUUGAAGGAUGUUCGUCUUACAUGGGUGAAACGACUUGAUAUAUGUAUUGAUGUUGCAACUGCCCUGGCUUUCCUUCAUGGAGGAGCUGGAAAACAAGCAAUAGUGAUACAUAGGGACAUCAAAACUGAUAACAUUCUACUAAUUAAUGAUGAGUGGCAUGCAAAGCUUGCUGAUUUUGGGCUUUCCUUGAUAAGUCCAAUAAAUCAGGAAACAGACUAUGUCAUUGAUCAUGCAUGUGGCACUCGAGGCUAUUUGGACCCACUUUACAUGAAAUCGGGUUUCUUAACCAAAGAAUCCGAUAUUUAUUCAUUUGGGGUGGUUUUGUUUGAGAUCAUGAGUGGCAGAUCAACGUUUGAGAUCUAUAAACGUAAUCGUCAGCAUCUACCAGAUUUCACCAAAGUGAGUUUUGAAAAUGGAAAACAUGAUGACUUGGUAUUUGAGGCGCUAAAAGAACAGAUUGUGCCAAAAGCAUUGACUGCAUUUCAAACGAUUGCCUACCAGUGCUUACACGAUGAUAGAGAAAAACGGCCAACAGCAAAAGAAGUUCUACAACAACUAAAGGAGGCUCGGGAAUUCCAAAGACAAGCUAUGAGAGAACAUGAUGAAGCCUUAGAAAAACUUAAUGGAACAGAGAUUAGUACCAAACCUAUUGCUUUGGUGGUCAAUGAAAAACCUGACCUGCACACUAGACUCAUUGAUGACCUUGACGAACAUGUAGAAGUUACAGAUGACCUUGCUGGGUUUUGUGGUUGUUUUGCGGUUAUUUCGAGGCUAUUUUGUUGCAGAUUUACAGCUUUUUUUGCCACUGUUUAAUGGCUCUUAUGAUGCUUAUCGGUCAUGAAGUAAAUUUUUUUUGCCCCCAAUAAGACAAAUUCCUGGAUCUGCCUAUUCAUUAUUGUUACUCUGUGAAUGUUCAGUUCAAGUUAUACAUGAGAGCCCAAACUGCCUAGAGACUACAAAGAGUCAAUCAUGUUAUUUCUAAGAGACACUAUAUAUAAAGGGGAAAAGUUAGAUUUCUGGAAGUGAUUGAGCUAGCUUAUGACAUCCAGUAUUUAAUGCAAAUGAAUGAGUGAAGGUUGAAUUUUUGGAUCAAUUGAUGGAGCUGCGUGUCGUAUGAAAGUUCAACUCAACAUUCGAGCUUAGAAAUGAUUGUACUUAUGUAAGUUGUAACCCAUGAAUUCUUGCCAAAAAGAAACGGCAUAAGAUACAAAGUCGUCACAUUGUUUUCACUAGAUUGUUCACAUAUAGAUCGAGAUACAAGGAACAAUGCAUUAACCGGAUGGAUGAGAAACAAUACUUGAAUGUUUAUCAUUUGUAAUGAUCUUUUUAUUUUCUCCA